CCGCAUCCUCUGACCCACUUACAGUGGACCACCUUCAGUCUACAGAAAUCACAGCUAGUUUCAUGAUCGGCCCUUUCUUGUCUUCACCUUUCUCAUUUUGGCGUACCAAUCCCAUCGGGGUAGCCACUCACAAAUACUCCAACAAAAAACGUUUGAUUAUAGACCUCUCUGCACCACACUCUUCCUCCAUUACCAGUAUCAACUCACUCAUUACCGCCGAGGAUUUCUCACUACACUACGCUAAAAUUGACGAUGCCAUGCAAGCCAUCAUAUCAG
This is a non-coding RNA of Pelobates cultripes (western spadefoot toad), 276 nucleotides long. The record is from the annotation of a GenBank genome assembly. NCBI's taxonomy places the organism in Eukaryota, Metazoa, Chordata, Amphibia, Anura, Pelobatidae.